RNAcentral lists this long non-coding RNA (929 nucleotides) under Homo sapiens (human). RNAcentral describes it as "non-protein coding SNHG26:39". Lineage: Eukaryota; Metazoa; Chordata; Mammalia; Primates; Hominidae. The record is from RNAcentral.
UGGAGUUUCAAGAUGCUGAUGAACUUAAGGUCUGGCGCUUGAAAGAAUCAGUGAAGCUUUUCAAGUAGAGGAGUACUCUACUUUGAAGAAAGGAAUGGAACAGAAGGUGUCUGCAUAACUAAAUGGGGAUCUAGAGAAAGUGGAGACUGCCUCUGGAGCAGGGAGGUGAGUGGACCAGAUCACUGUGGGCCUGGGCCUACUCAGCUGAUUUUCAAGCUAAAACCAGGGGUAACUUUUCCUCUUGAGACGAAAGCCAUGCUCACAUUCUGUGAACAGCCAGAGAUGUGUUCGAAAGGCUUACUUUUAUUUUGUACUAGAAAAGAUUGUCUUUCCAAAAUUUACCUCGUAUUCAUAAACUGGAAAGUUCUGAUGGCAAUAUUUUGUUACAAAAUUGUCAUUAAUCACAAUCCAGGAUUAUGCCACCAUGACUAGAAGGCCCCCUAAUGGAGUUUAUCUGCACUGCAAGGGGCCAGUUGUCUCAGAAUCAUCCUCCGUUGACAUCUCCAUCUCCAGGACAGCUCCACACUAAUCUGUUUCAAAGACAAAAUCCAGUCUAAUCAGUUUGAUGUAUGUUUCUGGGAAUAGAGCCGAAUGUUGUAGCUGAUGGAAUGGAGUCUCAUACCAUUGAUUUUGCAGCUGGACAAGUGCCCUGCCAUGUUACUGCCACUCUUUAAGGCAGAAUAGAGCACAUUGUAUCAUUUAUAGGCCUCUCACAGUGAGAAAUAUGUGGAACUUUGGAAAUCAGAAUCUAAAACUGCAGUCCAAUGGGGUAGCCACUAUUCACAUGUGCUAUUGAGUACCUAAAAUGUGGCUAGACCAAGUUGACAUGUGCUGAAGGGUGAAAAACACCAGGAGUGAAGAAUUAACUUGAAAAAAAUGUAAACUAUCUCAAUUUUAUAUUGAUUACAAAUUAAAUGAUGUUUUGAAUA